CUAUUUUUAUAUUGUUAUCUUGUGUUCAUUUUUUUCUUUAUAUCUACAAAUUUCUUCCCCACAUCUACAAAAACAGUUUUCAAACCAGCAGGACCAACUUCUUCAUCUACAUUCACAUCAUCCACAGCAGCAUAAGCUUCAGCCACAGACUCAUCAAUUUUCUUCUUCACAAGCUCAGUUUCAGCGACAGACUAAGCAACUUCCUUCUUCACAAGCUCAGUUUCAGCGACAGACUCAGCAACUUCCUUCUUCACAAGUUCAGUUUCAACGACAUACUCAGCAACUUUUUUCUUCACAGGCUCAGUUUCAGCACAGACUUAGACACUUUUAGAACAAUAUUCUGAAAUUUUGGCACAAAGUUUACAGAUGUGAACUUGGUAACAAUUCUUCUUCCAGACAAUGUUGGUUUCAUGAAUCCGGAGCAAGAAAGAGGUAAACCAAAAGAAGCCAUAAUGAAACGAAGAAGCAGUAGCAAGAGUAGAAAAGAAGCAGUAGCAAGAGUAGAGAAGAAGAUAAAAUGAUGAAUGAGAUAUAUAGUGGUGAACAUUAUAUCUCUAUCUCUACGAGAAACACAUAUAGAUAUCAAAACUGUAUCUAUAUUCUCUAAGCUACGAAAAGAAUUACCUGCAAAUUAGAGAAAAUCUCGAUCAGUCAACGGUUCUGUUGUGUUCAAUAUAUAUUUUUUUUUUUGAUGUAUACUAGAUAUUGACUGGUAACAUGAGAACUAAGAAGAUGAAUUUUUUUUAGGGAUAUAACAGGCAAUGAGUGCUAAGAAUCGAUAUGUUUUAUGUUUAGUCGAGACUUAAGUUUGAAAAAUACAGUAAGAAUAAAACUAUGGUAUUUUAGAAAAGACGAAUAUUCUAAAUUACUUGAAACUAGGUGGAAUUGAAUCUUUCAGAAUCUAGUUUUUGUGGGUAAACAAAUCUAAGUCAAUUCUUAAUUUUUAUUUAAGAUCUACUUUUUGUUUUUUAGUAUAUAAAGGAAUUUGUGAUUUAGGUCGGGAUAUGAGCCUUUGAGAGGCGAUUUUUAGGUCCAGCCGCCCAAAAUUUUUUCUUCUCUUAACUUUGUUGUUCCCUCUCCGAUUUACCGGUACCCUUGGCCGGAGUCGUGAGAUGUUGUUUCCGAUUGUCUUUUCUCUUUUUUUUUUCUUUGGUUCGAGCCUUCUCUAGCUUCUCUUAUGGCGGAUCUAAAGACGAGAUCUAGAUGGUUGUGCUUCGAUAGGGUUGUUUCCGUUUCUCGGUGACGAGAUCUAGAUGGUUGUGCUUCGAUAGGGUUGUUUCCGUUUCUCGGUGACGAGAUCUAGAUGGUUGUGCUCAAGCUGAAUCUCAAGGUUUUCCUCCUUGUUCCUAGCCUGUAUCAUUAUCUUCAUCUGCUUUAGUGUGGCCUGGCUCAAGUGGUUCAUGUUUCCUUGGUCAUGUUUAGUGCAUUGGUCGUAGACUUCUCUUAGUGAGCUAUUUUUAAAGGUUGUAUCUUUGUUGUUUGUUGCUUCCCUGUAUUUUAGGGCUAUGUCUCCGUUGUUUGAGCUAUGUUUCUCCUUUGUUUGGGCUAUAUCACCCUUGUUUGGACUAUGUCUCCUUUUUGGGUUUGUGACUACGAUACUAUCCCGUUUUUGAUAGCGGGUUUUAGUAUCCGUCUUUGUAUGAACUUGAAUGAAAUAAAAUGAGACUAUUGUGACAAAAAA
Molecule: small RNA, 1681 nt
Filed under: Arabidopsis thaliana (thale cress)
Lineage: Eukaryota; Viridiplantae; Streptophyta; Magnoliopsida; Brassicales; Brassicaceae
Description: ATSL148540
Source: RNAcentral